RNAcentral lists this ribosomal RNA (549 nucleotides) under uncultured Glomeromycotina. RNAcentral's name for it is "SSU rRNA". It matches the Rfam family "Eukaryotic small subunit ribosomal RNA", at positions 548 to 1098 of the family's 1831-position model. The record is from RNAcentral. Lineage: Eukaryota; Fungi; Glomeromycota.
UUGGAGGGCAAGUCUGGUGCCAGCAGCCGCGGUAAUUCCAGCUCCAAUAGCGUAUAUUAAAGUUGUUGCAGUUAAAAAGCUCGUAGUUGAAUUUCGGGGUUAGUAGGUUGGUCAUGCCUCUGGUAUGUACUGGUCUCACUGAUUCCUCCUUCCUGAUGAACCUUAAUGCCAUUAAUUUGGUGUUUUGGGGAAUUUGGACUGUUACUUUGAAAAAAUUAGAGUGUUUAAAGCAAGCUAACGCUUGAAUACAUUAGCAUGGAAUAAUGAAAUAGGACGUUCGAUCCUAUUUUGUUGGUUUCUAGGAUUGACGUAAUGAUUAAUAGGGAUAGUUGGGGGCAUUAGUAUUCAAUUGCCAGAGGUGAAAUUCUUGGAUUUAUUGAAGACUAACUACUGCGAAAGCAUUUGCCAAGGAUGUUUUCAUUAAUCAAGAACGAAAGUUAGGGGAUCGAAGACGAUCAGAUACCGUCGUAGUCUUAACCAUAAACUAUGCCGACUAGGGAUCGGAUGAUGUUAAUUUUUUAAUGACUCAUUCGGCGCCUUACGGGAAAC